CCGCCCUGGAUGUGCGACAUACCGAGGAGCGCUGUAUAGGCCACAUCCGCCUCUGUGGCAAAAGAGUGGAAAGAGCUUUGAGUAGAGGUGACAAACCUACCGAAUUCAGUUAUAGCUGGUUGCCCGUGAAUUGAGUAUAAGCUCAGCCUUUUGGCUUCUUAGCUCCACAGCUAUAUUCAUAACCCCGACUUUAAGAAACCAAAAGAGUUAAUCAAAGGGGGUACAGCCCAUUUGAUACAAGAAACAACUUUUAACAGGAGGAUAAGGAUUAUAAAAACCAAGGUAUCGCGCUUAAGUAGGCUUAGAAGCAGCCAUCACAAGAAAGCGUUAAAGCUCUAGCACAUCCCUACCACAAAUACCAAUAAACUACUCCUAACCCCUCUCCCUACCGGGCUUUUCUAUGCCCCCAUAGAAAAAAUUAUGCUAAAAUGAGUAAUAAGGGGCCGACCCCCUCCAAGCACAAGUGUACAUCGGAACGAACCCCCACCGAAAUUUAACGGACCCAUACAAAGAGGGAAGUAAAUACUAAACUCACNGACAAGAAAAACAUUUAAUAAUCCUCCGUUACCCCUACACUGGUGUGCCAAAUAGGAAAGACUAAAAGAAAAAGAAGGAACUCGGCAAACUCAAAGCCUCGCCUGUUUACCAAAAAACACCGCCGCAUGCCCACAUUGCAUGGAGAAGGUUACGCCAUGACCAGGGUG
Molecule: ribosomal RNA, 704 nt
Filed under: Takifugu alboplumbeus (komon-damashi)
Lineage: Eukaryota; Metazoa; Chordata; Actinopteri; Tetraodontiformes; Tetraodontidae
Description: partial 16S ribosomal RNA
Rfam family: Bacterial large subunit ribosomal RNA (bases 1-425)
Source: RNAcentral